RNAcentral lists this transfer RNA (90 nucleotides) under Candidatus Cloacimonas sp. 4484_275. RNAcentral's name for it is "tRNA-Ser". It matches the Rfam family "tRNA". Rfam says of the family: Transfer RNA (tRNA) molecules are approximately 80 nucleotides in length. Their secondary structure includes four short double-helical elements and three loops (D, anti-codon, and T loops). RNAcentral also lists the same sequence under 1 other name. The record is from RNAcentral. Lineage: Bacteria; Pseudomonadati; Candidatus Cloacimonadota; Cloacimonadia (SeqCode); Cloacimonadales (SeqCode); Cloacimonadaceae (SeqCode).
GGAGAUGUGUCCGAGUGGCUGAAGGAGCACGCUUGGAAAGCGUGUAUACGGGUAACCGUAUCUAGGGUUCAAAUCCCUACAUCUCCGCCA